Non-coding RNA from Colossoma macropomum (tambaqui), 969 nucleotides. The record is from the annotation of a RefSeq genome assembly. NCBI's taxonomy places the organism in Eukaryota, Metazoa, Chordata, Actinopteri, Characiformes, Serrasalmidae.
AAAGAUGAUGAAGGAAUGUACUUCUGUGGAAAAGUAGACAUUACAGAAAAAACCAUUACAUUUUCUAAUGGCACAUUCUUAGCCGUGACAGGUCAACCUCAGUUAAAUGUAACAGUGCUUCAAACUCCAGUAUGGAAGUCAAUUUCUCCGGGAGAGUCGGUCACUCUGCAGUGCACGGUCCACUCUAAGACCGGAGCAGCUGAACUCAGAGUGCUGUGGUUCAGAGCUGCUGCAGGACAAUCCUUUCCUGAAAUCAUUUACACUCAUGAGAACAGCAGAAGCCGUCAGUGUGAGAUCAGCUCUUCUACACACAAAUGUGUGCACAACUUCUCCAAGAACAACCUCAGUGACUCUGAUGCUGGAACUUACUACUGCGCUGUGGCUGCUUGUGGGAAGAUACUUUUUAGCAAUGGAGCAUUAGUACAACCGAAGGGGCCUCUGGAUCCUGCUGUGAUCUUUCUGGGAGCAGCUUUAGGAGUGUGUGUGGUUGUGAUCUCUGCUGAAACCUUUAUAAUCUGUAAGAGGAGAAACAGUGACCACUGCAGUGACUGCUGAGAGUCUGAAUUACGCUCCCAUCCAUUUCAAAGAGAACAAACCCAAAACUGGACGAGUGAAGAGAGAACAGCCUGAAGACAUUGUGUACUCUCAAGUGAGAAGCUCUAAUGCUAAAGCUCAUCGUUCUCAUCGCUAGAUCUCUUUCCUUUAGUGAGCAGAAGGGAAGUUUGGGGAUGUUUUUAUUUUACUGGGAUAUUCAGAGCUGCACAUGAUCUCCAGGUUAGUUUAAUAAUGUUUAUGUUAUUAUUUCUCUUGAUUUUGGACUUUGUGAAUGUUUGUUGUUUCUGCUGAUAUUUGGAUUUACAGUGAAGUGCUGUACUUUGUUUAGGUCCCCAUUUUGCUCAAAAGAGAGUGAAAAGUGUUCUGUUUAGUUGCUGAAGUAUGAAUAGCAACAUUGAAAUUAUUACUAGUGUA